GCUUACGGCCACACCGCCUGGUUCACGCCCGAUCUCGUUUGAUCUCGGAAGCUAAGAUAGGGUGGGGCCUGGUUAGUACUUGGAUGGGAGACCGCCUGGGAAUACCAGGUGUUGUAAGAU
This is a ribosomal RNA of Scophthalmus maximus (turbot), 120 nucleotides long. The record is from Ensembl. NCBI's taxonomy places the organism in Eukaryota, Metazoa, Chordata, Actinopteri, Pleuronectiformes, Scophthalmidae.